AAUGGGCGCAAGCCUGAUCCAGCCAUGCCGCGUGAGUGAUGAAGGCCCUAGGGUCGUAAAGCUCUUUCGCCUGUGAAGAUAAUGACGGUAGCAGGUAAAGAAACCCCGGCUAACUCCGUGCCAGCAGCCGCGGUAAUACGGAGGGGGUUAGCGUUGUUCGGAAUUACUGGGCGUAAAGCGCGCGUAGGCGGAUUAGUCAGUCAGAGGUGAAAUCCCAGGGCUCAACCCUGGAACUGCCUUUGAUACUGCUAGUUUUGAGUUCGAGAGAGGUAAGUGGAAUUCCGAGUGUAGAGGUGAAAUUCGUAGAUAUUCGGAGGAACACCAGUGGCGAAGGCGGCUUACUGGCUCGAUACUGACGCUGAGGUGCGAAAGUGUGGGGAGCAAACAGGAUU
RNAcentral lists this ribosomal RNA (392 nucleotides) under uncultured Gammaproteobacteria bacterium. Its description in RNAcentral is "bacterial SSU rRNA". It matches the Rfam family "Bacterial small subunit ribosomal RNA", at positions 370 to 779 of the family's 1533-position model. The record is from RNAcentral. Lineage: Bacteria; Pseudomonadati; Pseudomonadota; Gammaproteobacteria.